Leucoraja erinaceus (little skate) is the source of this 1947-nucleotide long non-coding RNA. RefSeq lists it as uncharacterized. The record is from RefSeq and is a predicted model, not a curated record. The transcript has 4 exons. Lineage: Eukaryota; Metazoa; Chordata; Chondrichthyes; Rajiformes; Rajidae.
CGCGCCGGCCGACAGAUAGAUGACUUGCAACUGGCCCAGAAGGAGUGGUACCUGAAGUUGGGGAAUCCCGCACUGAGUCUGGAAGGCUGCAAUGUGCUGAGAUGGAAGAAGAAUGCUCCUCUCCGAACUGGCAUGAGCCGUAUGCGAGCUGCAGUUCAAAUCUAAUGCAGUGGAGACCAAAGAUCGUAGAGGGACAAGAUAGACCACUCCUCGAAAAACGCGUAGUAUGACGUGUGUGACCGUCGACGCCAUAUUGUUAAGCAUUUAUUGGGCUGUAAUGGCGUCCUCAGCUAAAUCUACAUCUCACUGCUCCGCUAUCAACUGUUCUAAUCGUAAAUCUAAACGACCAGAGCUGUCAUUCUUUAGGUUCCCCAAUAAAAAAGAAAGAUGUCAACAGUGGGUCCAGAAUACUCAUCGACAAGAUCUCCUGCACCGAACUGCAGAGUAUUUGUCAAAUAACUGCCGUCUUAUGUACAUUGUGUGAAAUUGUGAUUUGUUAACUGCACAAAACUAAUGCAAAUGGCGAUACAUGCCUGCAUUUGGCCCAUACCCCUCUAAACCUGUCCUAACCAUCAAAUAACCUAACAGAACUGUCAUGAGGAAAGAUUUAAAAGACUAGGCUUGUAUUCACUGGAGUUUAGAAGGAUGAGGGGGGAUCUUAUCAUAUUGUUUACAGUGUACUAUGUUUACAGAUUCUGUUGUGCUGCUGAAAGUAAGAAUUUAAUUGUUCUAUCUGGGACAAGCUAGAUGCAGGAAAAUUGUUCUACAUGACAAUAAAACCCUCUUGUUAGCUGCAAGGGGAUCUUAUAGAAACAUCUAAAUGAAUAAAAGGACUGAACAAGCUAGAUACAGGAAAAAUGUUCCCAAUGUUGGGCGAGUCCAGAACCAGGGGCCACAGUCUUGGAACAAAGGGGAGGCCAUUUAAGACUGAGGUGAGAAAAAACUUUUUCACCCAGAGAGUUGUGAAUUUGUGGAAUUCCCUGCCACAGAGGGCAGUGGAGGCCAAAUCACUGGGUGGAUUUAAGAGAGAGUUAGAUAGACCUCUAGGGGCUAGUGGAAUCAAGGGGUAUGGGGAGAAGGCAGGCAUGGGUUAUCGAUUGGGGCUGAUCAGCCAUGAUCACAAUGAAUGGCGGUGUUGGGUCGAAGUGCCAAAUGGCCUCCUGCACCUAUUUUCUAUAUUUCUAAAACACUCAUCCAGCAAUCCUUGAGCCCACCAGCUCAUCCCGUAGUCAAUUCAUCAGCUUUUCCAUAAGAACUUCCAUCAGUUCUUGCAAAAGAAUGACAAUCAGCCAAUCUCGAUUACCCUCAGCCCAUCAAGCAGUCCCUUAAUUCGCACAGAAGUCUGAACUAUUGAAUGCUCACUGCAUCUCUUUCCAUGUCAGCAAGUUAAUAUCCAGCUGCAUAUGAACCAUGUGAAAAAUGAAUAAAUAGAUGCAUGUGGUGCAGUGAUUUGUGCAGCACUAUAGGCCUGGAGACCAAGAGGAGUUCACCAUUGAACGGAGUUUGAACGGGGGGCUUGAGGCCCCCGACCGAGGAAGAACAAAAGGAAGGGACUUGAACUUUAUUUCGCCUUCCAUCACAGUGAGGAAUGUGUAGGAGUCACUUUGGUGAAUGUCCGUAUUAAAAUGUGUUUUUGAGUGCUGUUGCUUUUAAUUGUAUGACUGACCUGGCCAAUGAAAUUCCUCGUAUAUUGCAAAACAUACUUGGAAAAUAAAAUCUGAUUCUGAUUCUGAAAAGCCUUUCCCUUCCAUACUCUUUCCUCUCUUUGAUCUUUUUGCAGCUGACUGCCUUUCUGUACAUGUUGCAAGAGAUUGUCGCGGCAUCCAGCAUCCUCGGAGAAUGUAGAAUUAAAGGCAGUUUUAAAGAUGGUUAUUUGCCUCAAAAUUGGGUUAUUGUAUCUCCAGAACCUCCCCAGAGGCUCUGGGAGACACAAGGUUCAAGAGGGAA